Manduca sexta (tobacco hornworm) is the source of this 833-nucleotide long non-coding RNA. RefSeq lists it as uncharacterized. Lineage: Eukaryota; Metazoa; Arthropoda; Insecta; Lepidoptera; Sphingidae. The record is from RefSeq and is a predicted model, not a curated record. The transcript has 2 exons.
ACUACGAUGUUUUUUUUUAAUCUAGUUGGCAUUAUAUUUAACUAUAAUAUGCCUCGUCUGAAGUUUUCUAUCGUCUCAUAGUUCAUUCAUCGUAAAUAUUCUUAAAUCAUGACUGUAGUAAGUGUAGUCACAUGAGGACCAGCCGUGACUGCAAGUCAUCGAGUUACAUUUGCAAAUGGCGUCGGUCUCUGAGCUACUACACCGAAUGCGCCUCGCUGGAGCGCCCUCGACCGAUGCAUUCGUUUGAGCGCUCCACAAAGCAUGAUGGCGGGUACCAAGAGCCCUCGCAACCUCUCGCACACAUAGAAGGUUCUCGAAGAGCAGCAUUUGUUUCAUACAGUACUGAACUUUACCUAGUGCUCAGUUUUUUCUUAGAGGUCAUAAUUUGUUGGCUUAUUUGAGAAUAAGACCAGGUCGAUAAUAUGUGCCCAUUAUUCUAACACCAGUAUAAAAUCUUUAAAUAGUAGGUAUUGUGAGAUUUAACGUUUUAAGAUACUAAGCACAACUUGGUGCCAGUAAAAAGCAGCUCAUUGACUUUGCAGGCAAAACUGUCUUCAAUGUGGCUUUUCAACAUUUUAUGAAGAAUUAUAAUCGUAUAAGAGACAGGUGGUGUAAAGAUGUACAAAUGGUAGUGCUUCAAGUUACCUCCUAGUCUACUCCACAUUUCCUUUGAACAGCAAAUUGGUCACGUUACGAGUACUCUAUCAGUAUAGGUGGGUGGAUCAUUACAGGAAAGAUAACUAUCGAUCUAUCUAAUCUAGGUACGCUAUAACAAUGUCUGCGUUAGAUUAGAAAUAAUUAUAGAUAAUAAUAAAUGUAGUGUAACAGAUCUA